GAUGAAGAACGCAGCGAAAUGCGAUAAGUAAUGUGAAUUGCAGAAUUCAGUGAAUCAUCGAAUCUUUGAACGCACCUUGCGCUCCUUGGCAUUCCGAGGAGCAUGCCUGUUUGAGUGUCAUUAAAUUCUCAAGACCUGUCUGCUUUUUUGAUAGGUAUUGGAUUUUGGGGGUUGCAGGCUGUUUCAAAUAAAUAGCCUUGCUCUCCUUGAAUGUAUUAGUGGAGAAAAGCCAUUGAACUCCAUUGGUGUUAUAAAACCUAUCAAUGCCAGGAGCAAUAUCACUACUUCUCUCUGCUGUCUAACUGUGACUGUCUGUAUUAAUUAGUAUGGAUGGGGACAACUUGACCAACUUGACCUCAAAUCAGGUAGGACUACCCGCUGAACUUAAGCAUAUCAAUAAGCGGAGGA
This 408-nucleotide unclassified non-coding RNA is filed under the name soil metagenome. RNAcentral's name for it is "partial contains 5.8S ribosomal RNA, internal transcribed spacer 2, and large subunit ribosomal RNA". The stretch from base 1 to 120 matches the Rfam family "5.8S ribosomal RNA", at positions 35 to 154 of the family's 154-position model. The record is from RNAcentral.